UGGGGAAUAUUGCACAAUGGGCGCAAGCCUGAUGCAGCCAUGCCGCGUGUGUGAAGAAGGCCUUCGGGUUGUAAAGCACUUUCAGCGAGGAGGAAGGUGAUGGACUUAAUACGUUCAUCAAUUGACGUUACUCGCAGAAGAAGCACCGGCUAACUCCGUGCCAGCAGCCGCGGUAAUACGGAGGGUGCAAGCGUUAAUCGGAAUUACUGGGCGUAAAGCGCACGCAGGCGGUUUGUUAAGUCAGAUGUGAAAUCCCCGGGCUCAACCUGGGAACUGCAUUUGAAACUGGCAAGCUAGAUCUCGUAGAGGGGGGUAGAAUUCCAGGUGUAGCGGUGAAAUGCGGUAGAGAUCUGGAGGAAUACCGGUGGCGAAGG
RNAcentral lists this ribosomal RNA (374 nucleotides) under uncultured bacterium. RNAcentral's name for it is "partial 16S ribosomal RNA". It matches the Rfam family "Bacterial small subunit ribosomal RNA", at positions 355 to 721 of the family's 1533-position model. The record is from RNAcentral.